ACGGAGGGGGCUAGCGUUGUUCGGAUUUACUGGGCGUAAAGGGCGCGUAGGCGGAUGUUCGCGUCAGAGGUGAAAGCCCCGGGCUCAACCUGGGAACUGCCUUUGAAACGGGACAUCUUGAGUUCGGGAGAGGGUAGCGGAAUUCCCAGUGUAGAGGUGAAAUUCGUAGAUAUUGGGAAGAACACCGGUGGCGAAGGCGGCUGCCUGGCCCGAUACUGACGCUGAGGCGCGAAAGCGUGGGGAGCAAACAGGAUUAGAAACCCCCGUAGUCC
RNAcentral lists this ribosomal RNA (272 nucleotides) under uncultured bacterium. RNAcentral's name for it is "partial 16S ribosomal RNA". It matches the Rfam family "Bacterial small subunit ribosomal RNA", at positions 525 to 796 of the family's 1533-position model. The record is from RNAcentral.